UACGUAGGGGGCAAGCGUUAAUCGGAAUUACUGGGCGUAAAGCGUGCGCAGGCGGUUUUGUAAGACAGAGGUGAAAUCCCCGGGCUCAACCUGGGAACUGCCUUUGUGACUGCAAGGCUUGAGUGCGGCAGAGGGGGAUGGAAUUCCGCGUGUAGCAGUGAAAUGCGUAGAUAUGCGGAGGAACACCGAUGGCGAAGGCAAUCCCCUGGGCCUGCACUGACGCUCAUGCACGAAAGCGUGGGGAGCAAACAGG
RNAcentral lists this ribosomal RNA (253 nucleotides) under uncultured bacterium. RNAcentral's name for it is "partial 16S ribosomal RNA". It matches the Rfam family "Bacterial small subunit ribosomal RNA", at positions 524 to 776 of the family's 1533-position model. The record is from RNAcentral.